CGCUGGCGGCGUGCCUAACACAUGCAAGUCGAGCGGUAACAGGUGUAGCAAUACAUGCUGACGAGCGGCGAACGGGUGAGUAAUGCUUCGGAAUCUGCCCAAUGGUGGGGAAUAACCAGCCGAAAGGUUGGCUAAUACCGCAUAAGUCCUACGGGGGAAAGCAGGGGAUCGCAAGACCUUGCGCCGAUGGAUGAGCCGAAGUCGGAUUAGCUAGUUGGUAGGGUAACGGCCUACCAAGGCGACGAUCCGUAGCUGGUCUGAGAGGACGACCAGCCACACUGGGACUGAGACACGGCCCAGACUCCUACGGGAGGCAGCAGUGGGGAAUAUUGGACAAUGGGGGAAACCCUGAUCCAGCGACGCCGCGUGUGUGAAGAAGGCCUGCGGGUUGUAAAGCACUUUUAGUGGGGAUGAAAAGCUCAGGGCUAACACCUCUGGGUCUUGACCUAACCCAAAGAAAAAGCACCGGCUAACUCUGUGCCAGCAGCCGCGGUAAUACAGAGGGUGCGAGCGUUAAUCGGAAUUACUGGGCGUAAAGCGUGCGUAGACGGUUAUGUAAGUCGGGUGUGAAAGCCCC
This 577-nucleotide ribosomal RNA is filed under the name uncultured bacterium. RNAcentral describes it as "bacterial SSU rRNA". It matches the Rfam family "Bacterial small subunit ribosomal RNA", at positions 34 to 604 of the family's 1533-position model. The record is from RNAcentral.